Molecule: ribosomal RNA, 481 nt
Filed under: uncultured bacterium
Lineage: Bacteria
Description: partial 16S ribosomal RNA
Rfam family: Bacterial small subunit ribosomal RNA
Source: RNAcentral
UUGAACGCUGGCGGCAUGCCUUACACAUGCAAGUCGAACGGUAACGGGCCUUCGGGUGCCGCCGAGUGGCGAACGGGUGAGUAAUACAUCGGAACGUGCCCGAUCGUGGGGGAUAACGAGGCGAAAGCUUUGCUAAUACCGCAUACGAUCUACGGAUGAAAGCAGGGGACCGCAAGGCCUUGCGCGGACGGAGCGGCCGAUGGCAGAUUAGGUAGUUGGUGGGAUAAAAGCUUACCAAGCCGACGAUCUGUAGCUGGUCUGAGAGGAUGAUCAGCCACACUGGGACUGAGACACGGCCCAGACUCCUACGGGAGGCAGCAGUGGGGAAUUUUGGACAAUGGGCGCAAGCCUGAUUCAGCCAUGCCGCGUGCAGGAUGAAGGCCUUCGGGUUGUAAACUGCUUUUGUACGGAACGAAAAGCCUUCUUUUAAUACAGGAGGGUCAUGACGGUACCGUAAGAAUAAGCACCGGCUAACUACGUG